CAAGAAUAUUACUAUAUAGUAAAUAUGUGGGAAACCAUCGUACAUUUGUGACCUCCCAUUUCCUAUGGAUAUUUCAGUUGUAUGUUACAUCGCACAUUAGUACAGGGAUACAGAGCACAUGUAAAGCAGAUCCUGACACGCCCCUUCCUGAGCAGUGGAUGUCAGAAUGGUUGAGCAGCAGAACAUAGGGUUUUGUGAGCCAAAUGCAGAAGCUAGACACAUAAAAAGAUAAGAAUUUGCAUGACCUAAUCAGCAUGAAAGGAAAGACAUAACCCAAAAAUACAACAUAGCAUCUUCUCUUAGCCUUCCCUGAUGUCUUCAGACUGACAAGUCUAAUAGCUUGUGUGGCCUUCUGCGGCAGAAGACGAGAC
Hyla sarda is the source of this 371-nucleotide long non-coding RNA. RefSeq lists it as uncharacterized. NCBI's taxonomy places the organism in Eukaryota, Metazoa, Chordata, Amphibia, Anura, Hylidae. The transcript has 3 exons. The record is from RefSeq and is a predicted model, not a curated record.